AAAAGCAGAAUGGUUGCUAAAGAAUAAGUUGGAUUUGGACGUCAAUGAAAAUCAAUCGAUAUCUACGGUGGUUCCCAGGACCCCUCCAUCGGUUCAGCUGUGGUAGAGACUGAGCCGAGGUUGUCUUCAGCUCCUGUCAGAGCYCUCAGGCGUUACAGAGUUUUACCAGACCCACCAGGUACUCAGAGAACGUCUGAAGAUUCGCCUCAACCGUCCAGCCAAUCCCCUGUCACUCAGGUAUCCCAUGGUUACAGGCCUGGCACAGCUGCCGCUGCUCUACAGAAGCGAAGGCUCAAACCAAACUAGUAAUAGGUUUGAUUGGUAGGUUAGCAAACAGUAUCCCCAAGAGGGAGGGGUCAGGUACUUUUAAUACAAACAAGAUUGUCCGGUGUUAGCUGUAAGAAAAACCGGUGUAAAAUGUGCAGUACUGUGCAGUGCCCAUUCUUUCCAAUACACUGUGCUUUCACAUAGUAGCUAUGUUAUUGGACAACAAGCCUAGCAAAUUUAACGAGUCAUAUACCCGGCUACCGGGGAAAGAAGGGGCAUAAAAUCCCGUUGUGUGUCCGGUAUUUGUAAGUUUCAUUAAUAUGACUAUAACGAGCGUUUAUUUCUAAAUCAGAUACUACCUUACGGGAUAUAAAGUUUGGUCGUGAAAAACCCGGUGUUUGCUCGGUGCUACCUUACGGGAUAUAAAGUCGGGUCGUGAAAAACCCGGUGUUGGCUCGGUGCUACCUUUCGGGAUAUAAAGUCGGGUCGUGAAAAAUCCGGUGGUUGACCGGUGCUUCCAAUGUUAUCAACAUGGGGCAACGUCAUGCAAAAUGCCCCUACUUUGUACGAGGGGGAGGGAAGGGGUUCAUUUUGUGUUGGACACGAUGUAAGAUAUUCUUAAUGUUUGAUAAAACUAACUUGUAAAUAUGUGUUACUGUUAAGAAUCAUUAAACCCAACGACAAGCUCUC
Long non-coding RNA from Actinia tenebrosa (Australian red waratah sea anemone), 957 nucleotides. The record is from RefSeq and is a predicted model, not a curated record. NCBI's taxonomy places the organism in Eukaryota, Metazoa, Cnidaria, Anthozoa, Actiniaria, Actiniidae.